CAGCAUGCGCUUAGUGACGGUUCCCCUUCGGGGGAAGCAAUAGGGAACAGGGAACGCACGGAACGGUCAUCCGGAUCCGGACGAAGCCCUGGCUGCCCCCGCAACUGUAAGCGGAGAGCACACGCCUGAUAAAUGGCCACUGGGAAACUGGGAAGGCCGGGCAUGUGUUUUGACCCGUGAGCCAGGAGACCUGCCGCCGCCAGUAUCGCCCG
This 212-nucleotide non-coding RNA is filed under the name Oceanibacterium hippocampi. The record is from RNAcentral. Lineage: Bacteria; Pseudomonadati; Pseudomonadota; Alphaproteobacteria; Sneathiellales; Sneathiellaceae.